GACGAACGCUGGCGGCGUGCUUAACACAUGCAAGUCGAACGGAAAGGCCCUGCUUUUGUGGGGUGCUCGAGUGGCGAACGGGUGAGUAACACGUGAGUAACCUGCCCUUGACUUUGGGAUAACUUCAGGAAACUGGGGCUAAUACCGGAUAGGAUCUCCUGCUGCAUGGUGGGGGUUGGAAAGUUUCGGCGGUUGGGGAUGGACUCGCGGCUUAUCAGCUUGUUGGUGGGGUAGUGGCUUACCAAGGCUUUGACGGGUAGCCGGCCUGAGAGGGUGACCGGCCACAUUGGGACUGCGAUACGGCCCAGACUCCAACGGGAGGCAGCGGUGGGGAAUAUUGCACAGUGGGCGGAAGCCUGAUGCGGCAACGCCGCGUGCGGGAUGACGGCCUUCGGGUUGUAAACCGCUUUCGCCUGUGACGAAGCGUGAGUGACGGUAAUGGGUAAAGAAGCACCGGCUAACUACGUG
This 468-nucleotide ribosomal RNA is filed under the name uncultured bacterium. RNAcentral describes it as "partial 16S ribosomal RNA". It matches the Rfam family "Bacterial small subunit ribosomal RNA", at positions 28 to 507 of the family's 1533-position model. The record is from RNAcentral.